UGAGUAUUUAAAUCAUGGAAUUUCUGAAGUUGGAAGGGACUCAGAAAGGCUCUGGUGCAUGGGACACUGCCAGUGACAGCCUGGUGACAACACUCACUCCUUGAAUGGCAGGAAAGCAGAAAAAAGGGUGAAGAAAUGGCCAAAAUUCCAGUUUGGGGAAAAUCAGCACAAGAAAGGCUGGAGUGAUGUCCAGGAAUGGGAACAGCAAACUCUGAGAAACAGUCAGGAUAAUCUCUUGCCUGAAAAGAAAUGGAAAUUCUGUCCUGGUAGGUUUAUCUGUGUAAUUCCAGAGGUUUCAGGGAUGACCUGCCUGACAGGAAUUCUGGGAAAAUCCAGCUCCAAGGAAUGCUGAGGAAGUGCUGCUACUGCUCAGUGUGGGAUUUGCUUUUUGCUGGUCUUGCUAAAACCAGUUCUAUUUCUCUGUGUCCCUAGGUAAGAAAAUGUUCACUUUCCAUCUGAAAUAUGACAGUGAAAGGAGUGGGGUGGGAUGUGGCAUGAAAGGAUAUUUCCAAAGAAAAAGGAUGAAAAAGGGAAAAAACACCUUUGGAUGUGCCCCAAGCCUGAGAGUGGCACAGGAUUUAUAACUUAGGUCUGGGUAGUUGGAAACGAUUUGGGGACAAGGGGGUUGGUGAGAGUUUAUUUAUCUGUGCACCCUGAGUGCAGAAAUUCACUUCUCUCUUCGGAAUUCAUUUAGGAACAAAUAUCACUGAGGAAGAUUUUUAUCUGCAUCACUCUGAAGCAACAAAUCAUUUAUUGCAAGCACUUGAAACGAGAUCUGUGGUGCUUACAUUAAAAAACAAAAGAACAAAGUGAAGCCAUCCCUGUGAACAAAAGAAAAAGAAGUUAUUUCAGCAAAGAGAGAAUUUUAUUUUGACUUCUGAGGUUAUGCAAGAGCUUCAGGAGAAGUGGGACAAGGAUAACAAGGAGGGGAUCGAUAUCCAGAGUUCAAAGGUGCUAAGAGGAGAGGGAGAGUUAAAAAAAAAUCCCAUCCCAGCACAAGCAGGAUGUGGAAUUCUGUUGGAAACUCUUCGACUGCUCAGGAUGAUGGAUUUUCAUGGGAUUUCAUUUUUCCAGUUGGGGCUGGAUCCAGGGUCUCUGUGGGGUGGGACAGACUCCAAGGGGACAACCCCAGGCGGGGCCAAGAGAGUUUCAAGCUGGGAUUUCUCAGUUUGGAUACUGAAAGCUUCUCUCCACUUUGUUAACCUGGCCAAAUCCUGGGCUCUGCUGUGCUUUAGUUGCCACUCAGCUGUGAAGAACAAGAAAUUCUCAACCCCUGGGUGGGCAGCAAGAGCUGCAGGACAAAGCCCUCCCUCCCUGCCCUGUGUCACCUUCCAGAGCUGCUCCAGGCUCUUCUCCUCCUGCCUUUUGCCCUCCCAGAUCAGCUCCUGCCUCCCCAUUCCUCCCUCAGCACUCACAGUCCCCCUCAUUCACUACUGUGGUUUUAAGUAGGUUUUGGAUUUCUUUAGGGUGUACCCAAAAGUGCUGUGAUAUAAUUCCAUGUAUUUGGUGCUCAGAGGGUGAGUGUUUCUCAUUGUUGGCUGAUUCAAGACCUCUUUAAUUAGGCUUUUCCUAUGGUAAGAUUUUGUAAGAGCAGGGAAAGGUGCUUUUAUUUUAUAAUCUCCUUACAACUGCAAAUAUUGAGUGUUAGCAAAACAAACUCCCUUCCUUAGCAAUUAACACCCUUUUAUUUGACAAAGACAGAAUUAGAUGAGAAGAAAGAACAGUGAGGAUAAAAUUAGAAGACAUUGUGGCACACUGGAAAAUAAUGAAAUAAGAAAGUGUGUUUUCUCCUACAAUAGAAAGAGUUUUUCUUUUGAGCCAAAAGUCCCUGUAAUUAAAGCCUAAUUUAUUUCCAGAUAUUCCACUGGUUAUGGAAAUGAAAUCUGACAAUUGUAGUUAACAAUACUCUUCAGAUUCACUCCUAAAUUCAUUCUUAACACAAUUUAAUCACAUUUCUUGUAGCCUAAUCAUCUGUGAGCACAAUUUAAUGUAAGGUUGGGAUAUGUAGACAUUAGGAAGACCCAAAUCAAAAGACCCAUAUUGAAAAAUAUAAAAAAAUCAUCUGAAGUGACUAUUAAAUAAAUAUGAGCUAAUGUGAUUACCUGCUUAGCAGUAAAUGAUGUCAGUAGGUAAACACCGUCUUCAUAUGCAUCUGUUAAAAAGAAAGAGUGAAAGAAAUUAAAUAAAAUGUGUUUGCUGGCUGCCUUAUCUAAUACAUUAUAAAAAUUUCUGUCCACAGACAGCUUACAAAUACAAGGGAUGUAUUUAUAUGUAAAUAAAGAGAAGUUGUGCAUUUCCAGAAGAUGAAUGCUAUUAGACAUAAAAUACUUUUAGUGUAUAUAAAGCUGAAGUGAGGAUAAAAGGAGAACAUUUUAGGGGCAAGAUAUAACAGCAGGCAAAGAAAGAGCACUAGGGAGAUCAGGGCAGUUUAGAUGGGGAGAAAAAUGUUUGUUUGAAACAUUGAAGUAAUGAAGAGUCAUUUCCCACAUCCCCCUCCACUGCCAGGUGACAAUUCCAGGUGACACCUGAGGUGGUGGGGCUGCUGCCUCUCUCAAGUCACUGCUGGUGUUCCCCCAGCACUGCUGGGAUUCUGCUGUCCCUGCCCUCGGAGCAGUGCUGAUCCUGGGCACUGGGGCUCCUGUCCUGCCAUCCCACACUCCUGGAGCAAGAUACUCCACCCAAAUUCCAUUCAUCACCAGUUUUUCCUAAAUUUGGCCAUCCUUUCUGGAUUCCAGUGCUGGCAGAGGGUGUGAAGCACCUCCAGAUCCACCUCCAGCCUCCUGCAAACCCCCACCAGGUCACUGUGCAAGGCACAUUUCCUGCAUUCCUGGUGGGAAUCUCAUUGUUAUUACAAGGGUCAUGCACUCUGGGUGGGGAGGAGAAAUGCCAGCUCAGUGUCUCUUACUGGCAAACAAUUUAAAUUUAGCCAUGUUGAGGAAAUCAGUGAGAGCUCUCACACGAUCUGUGGUUAUGGUUCCCUCAGGUUUGAGGAGGAAUCUUUGUUUUCUGCCUUUCCUCAGGCCCAGGACACGAGGUCAUUUAUACAACAUAUUAAUUCUGUAAAUCACAGCCCGGUGUGGCUUCAAUCAGGAGGAAUCAUGUUUCUGUAAUGUUGGUCUGCAGGUUUCAUUUCAGUUUUGCCUCUGAAGGGGAGUUCAAAUCUGUCCCCCAGAAAUGGCCUUGGCCAAGUCCAUCCCUUCCCUCUGCUCCUCCUCGGACACCCCAGAGUUUGUUCCCUCUCUCCUCAGUUUACAUCCUUGGGUUUGUUUUUUUCUGCUUGAAUUUGGGCUUUGAAUGCCCCCAGGGAUGGAGGCUCACUUGGCAGUGUCCAACCAUUCUCACAGCAAAAAAAGAAGGGUUUUAGGAAGGGGAGAAGGCCUGGACGUACCGAUGCGAACCCCAUCAUCCCAGUAAAGGUGUCCUGCUGCCAUCUGAGAGUCAUCCAGGGCCACCGUGAGUCCCAUCGGGUUUUUCCGGCUGUGAAAAACACAAUUUUCUCUCAAUUCCCUCAGCUAAUCACAUUCCAUAUUCCCCAAAUGGUAAUUUCUUCACAGUGAAGUCAUGUACCACCCAACUGACCUCCCACAGCCAUCUGCCCAUCCCAUACUACUAAAGACCAUUAGGAAAAAAACCCCAAAAAAACACCAAAAAGUCAAAUUAAAUUUAAAUUUUUCACUUCUUCCUACCUGUAAGCAGUUGUAUUGGCAGGUCUUUGCCAAGGCAGGAUGUAGCCACCUCGGAUGUGCAGGUUGAUGUGCUCCAAAGGAGCAGAUAGAUUUUGGAAUUGUUUCCUAAAGCCAGUAUCUGUAUUCUAUGUACAAAAAAAUAAAAUCAUUUUUACAGAGUUUUCCUUCAGAACAAAAAGUAAUAUUUCUCUAGACAGGUUAAUUAGGAGUUGUUACUGCAGGAGUAACUAUUAAUAAGAGAAACCCUGAAAUUUUGGGUCUAUAAAAGGAUGGCCUGACCAUGGGUGAUGGCAGCUGAACCAAAGGGGCCAAGCAGGUGAAACACAAACCUGUGAUUAUUGAAGGGAGUUUUGAUCCUGCUCUUCCUAUUUCCAAAUCUUUUAUUAUUUUCCAGGAAAAAUUAUGCAGCUAAACCUGUUUUUUUCUUUCUUUAUUAGAACAUGCCAUUACAAAAACCUUGUGUGUAUCAUUUGAGGGUUACAAAAAGUGAAAAGAACUCUAAAUUAAAGGUAUUAACUUCGCCUUUUCAUUUAUCAUAACUCUGGUCAUGUUAUUAUACAUUAUUAUAAAGGAAUCGAGGAUUUUUAUUAUUUCUUUUUAUAUUUCUAAGAACUUAUAUUAAAUGCAAAUUAAGCAGGGGAAUGUUCCCACCCCCUGCCACACUCAGCACUGUGGAAAGACAGAAAAUACAAGUUUUAAAAUAGAAUUUUUUUAGGAUGACUUACUGUGUGGUAAUCAUACCAGCGGGCAUCGGGGAAAUAAGCCCUCACACUCCGAUCAUUCUGCAAUUAAACACACAAAUUUUGGGCACCUCACAUGGAAAAGUGAAGCUUAGUUAAACUGACUUUCAGUUGUAAAUAAGCUUAAAAGCUGACCUCUUUCAUCACAGGGCUGAUGAGCAGGGCAGGACCCCAGAGGAACUGCUCGUCGAUGCUCCACGUGGUCCUGUCUCCCACAAACCUGUCAGGAAGAGACAGAGCUGAGCUUUCCCAAAUAAUUCCUCCUUGAAGACCCUUUUAAUUUCAGUAAUUUCACCUACUCUUUCUAGUAUCUCUUUCCUCAUUAUUGCUGUUAAUAAUUAAGAGAUCAAUUAAUGGCUGCACAAAGAUCCUGAUGUGACAUUCAUUAGAGAAAUGCAAGUUUAGUGCUUAGCUUUAGGGGUUUUGGUCCAUUUCUUUGCUUUUGCUUUUCAGUUCAUUGGGACAACAAAACUCUGAAAUUCUUAUGCUUAUUAUUUACAGUAAUAAAAUCUUGGGCAGACUGGGACAGAUUUUUCAAUUUGAGCCACUGUUUUCUGAGCUUCUUUGAAAAAAGCAAAUCACUACAUGCAAAAAGCUCAGUUUUUCCCAGCCCAGACUUGGUAUUUUUAAAUUGAAGGGGGAAAUGCUGUAACGAAGAGACAACUCUGUUGUUAGGGGGUCACAACCAGAGGAGUUUUAAUGGGAAUUCUUGGUGAGGAGAGCAGGGGAGCUGCACUUACUCGUGGAGAACAGGGCGGAUCACGGUGCUGCCGUGGGCAUGGGCAUCGUACAGCAAGGUGUAGAGGUAAGGUAACAGGGUGUAUCUUAUGUUCAGCACGUCCCUGGACAUCUCUUUAAAUUUGUCAUCCCAGGAAGCAGGAUCUUGCCUCUGAAAGAGAAGAGAGUGUUGUUAGAGAAGCUGGGCUGGAUUGCGUGAGGAAGCUAAAAAAACCAAAUCCACGCAGCAAAAUAAACCAAGGAAGUUUGCUCUCUGAAGCAGAGCAUCUUCGUUUAUUUAUUCUUCACGUCAGGAGCAAGUGAAAACUGUGGCUGUCACUGUCAGCCCCAGGAAGGGAACUAGAAAGAGGAAAGCUGAUAAAAACCCAGGGGAAGCAGUAAAAAUGUUUAAUGCAAAGUGUCCCCAAGGUGUGACACGUCCCAGGGUACCUCACCCAUCGGCCCUCUGCUCGCAGCAAGAGUCCGAGGCACCAAGGACUGGUGUCAGGAGAGCCUCAAGUCUUUAUUAAACAUAGGGAACAAUACCUUGGCAAAUUGGGCAGCACUGGAAGCACCACGAUAACCCUGAAUCUGCAUUUUGAAGGCUUUCAGGGCCCGUGGAAGCUGUGUGCUGUGAGAUAAAGCAGCUGCCUUUGAAAAGGAGACUUUAAUCCAUUAGAUAUUUGCCACCUAAAUAGCUCCACUCUGCUAGACCUGAAGCUUUCCCUGGAACACAAGUGCUGUUUCCCUUUUCUGCAUUUUCCCAGUUAUCUUGUUUUACAGCUUUCUCCACUCCACUCCUUAGCCUGCAUUUAGGCAAUUAUUUCCCUUUCCUUUCAGCAGAAAUACAAUAUCUGAUGGUGGCAAACAGGCAGAGCACAGAAAUUCCCGAGUCUCACUCCAGCAUCUUAUUACACUGCCCCAUUUUCUCAUUUGUUGUAUAAUUAUGGGCAAUUAGGGCCGAGAGCACCAAGGUCAGUUCUGUUUCUUGAAGUGUGUUUGCCAUAAAAUCUCCAUUUUAGCCCUGCUGUAGCUCAUUGAAAUCCAAAUAGCACAGAGGGGAAAAUAUGUAGAGUUUGGUUCAGUGAAAGCAAAGUUAGAACGGGCUUCCUUCAAAUGUCCAAAUCCCAGAGCAGCCCCUCUGGGACACAAAACCUCCCAGGUGAUGGGGAGGCUCACAGCAGAGACAGCAUAGACAUAAUGACAGUUUUCAUUUGA
Passer domesticus (house sparrow) is the source of this 6361-nucleotide long non-coding RNA. RefSeq lists it as uncharacterized. The transcript is spliced from 4 exons. The record is from RefSeq and is a predicted model, not a curated record. NCBI's taxonomy places the organism in Eukaryota, Metazoa, Chordata, Aves, Passeriformes, Passeridae.